RNAcentral lists this ribosomal RNA (328 nucleotides) under Escherichia coli. Its description in RNAcentral is "bacterial SSU rRNA". It matches the Rfam family "Bacterial small subunit ribosomal RNA", at positions 818 to 1146 of the family's 1533-position model. Lineage: Bacteria; Pseudomonadati; Pseudomonadota; Gammaproteobacteria; Enterobacterales; Enterobacteriaceae. The record is from RNAcentral.
UGGAGGUUGUGCCCUUGAGGCGUGGCUUCCGGAGCUAACGCGUUAAGUCGACCGCCUGGGGAGUACGGCCGCAAGGUUAAAACUCAAAUGAAUUGACGGGGGCCCGCACAAGCGGUGGAGCAUGUGGUUUAAUUCGAUGCAACGCGAAGAACCUUACCUGGUCUUGACAUCCACAGAACUUUCCAGAGAUGGAUUGGUGCCUUCGGGAACUGUGAGACAGGUGCUGCAUGGCUGUCGUCAGCUCGUGUUGUGAAAUGUUGGGUUAAGUCCCGCAACGAGCGCAACCCUUAUCCUUUGUUGCCAGCGGUCCGGCCGGGAACUCAAAGGA